CAAUAGCGUAUAUUUAAGUUGUUGCAGUUAAAAAGCUCGUAGUUGGAUUUCGGAUGGGACUUGCCGGUCCGUCGUUUCGAUGUGCACUGGCCAGUCCUAUCUUGUUGUCGGGGACUAGCUCCUGGGCUUCACUGUCCGGGACUAGGAGCUGACGAGGUUACUUUGAGUAAAUUAGAGUGUUCAAAGCAAGCCUACGCUCUGAAUACAUUAGCAUGGAAUAACACGAUAGGACUCUGGCUUAUCUUGUUGGUCUGUGAGACCAGAGUAAUGAUUAAGAGGGACGGUCGGGGGCAUUCGUAUUUCAUUGUCAGAGGUGAAAUUCUUGGAUUUGUGAAAGACGAACUUCUGCGAAAGCAUUUGUCAAGGAUGUUUNCAUUA
This 378-nucleotide ribosomal RNA is filed under the name uncultured eukaryote. RNAcentral's name for it is "partial 18S ribosomal RNA". It matches the Rfam family "Eukaryotic small subunit ribosomal RNA", at positions 592 to 975 of the family's 1831-position model. The record is from RNAcentral.